GAUGAACGCUGGCGGCGUGCUUAAUACAUGCAAGUCGAGCGAACAGACGCGGCGCUUGCUCCUCUGUCGUUAGCGGCGCACGGGUGAGUAACACGUGGAUCACCUACCUAUAAGUCUGGGAUAACUUCGGGACACCGGAGAUAAUACCGUAUGAUAUAUUGAACCGCAUUGUUCAAUAGUGAAAUACGGUGUUUCUGUCUCUUAUAGAUGGAUCUGAGCCGCAUUAGCUAGUUGGUAAGGUAACGGCUUUUCAAGGCAACGAUGCGUAGCAGACCUGCGAGGGUGAUCGGCCACACUGGAGGUGAAACACGGUCCAGACUACUACGGGAGGCAGCAGUAGGGAAUCUUCCGCAAUGGGCGAAAGCCUGGCGGAGCAACGCCGCGUGAGUGAUGAAGGUCUUCGGAUCGUAAAACUCUGUUAUUAGGGAAGAACAAAUGUGUAAGUAACUAUGCACGUCUUGACGGUACCUAAUCAGAAAGCCACGGCUAACUACGUG
This 497-nucleotide ribosomal RNA is filed under the name uncultured bacterium. Its description in RNAcentral is "partial 16S ribosomal RNA". It matches the Rfam family "Bacterial small subunit ribosomal RNA", at positions 28 to 507 of the family's 1533-position model. The record is from RNAcentral.